RNAcentral lists this long non-coding RNA (326 nucleotides) under Drosophila guanche. Lineage: Eukaryota; Metazoa; Arthropoda; Insecta; Diptera; Drosophilidae. The record is from RNAcentral.
GGUGCCUAGAAGGAGAAAACAGUUUUCACGUACCUGUGGUCCGAGAAGGAGGAUACAACGUUAUCCUGUAUACUAUGGGGAGCAAGUGUAAGGUCUACGAACUGAUUGCGGUUCUUGAUGAGAAACGUGGGCCCGUUUCCCCGGUUUAAGAGCUGAGAGGCAGAGGUUAAUAAGUGAUUUGAAAUGGCAUAAUGUCGUCUGGAAACUCCCUCGGCGCUCUCUCGCUGAUCGGUUGUCCGCUCUCGCUCUCAAUUCGCUCUCUUUCGUUUUCACUUUGCGUUUGCUCUAGCGUUUGGAAUUCGCAGUGACGUGAAUUCUCACUUGCU